AAUGAACGCUGGCGGCAGGCCUAACACAUGCAAGUCGAACGGGUCCUUCGGGACUAGUGGCGGACGGGUGAGUAACGCGUGGGAACGUGCCCCUUGGUACGGAAUAGCCCCGGGAAACUGGGAGUAAUACCGUAUGUGGUCGAGAGACGAAAGAUUUAUCGCCAAGGGAUCGGCCCGCGUUGGAUUAGGUAGUUGGUGGGGUAAUGGCCUACCAAGCCGACGAUCCAUAGCUGGUUUGAGAGGAUGAUCAGCCACACUGGGACUGAGACACGGCCCAGACUCCUACGGGAGGCAGCAGUGGGGAAUCUUAGACAAUGGGCGAAAGCCUGAUCCGGCCAUGCCGCGCGAGUGAUGAAGGCCUUCGGGUUGUAAAGCUCUUUUAGAUGGGAAGAUAAUGACGGUACCAUCAGAAUAAGCCCCGGCUAACUUCGUGCCAGCAGCCGCCGUAA
This 449-nucleotide ribosomal RNA is filed under the name uncultured bacterium. Its description in RNAcentral is "partial 16S ribosomal RNA". It matches the Rfam family "Bacterial small subunit ribosomal RNA", at positions 29 to 523 of the family's 1533-position model. The record is from RNAcentral.